AAACAAACUGAAUUCAAACACACCAUCAUAAUAAAAACACACCUUUUUAAUUUGAACACCUUUAAUGUAUAGACUAAAAUAAACUAAGAUAAAUACAGAUUCAUUUGUGGGAGGUGAACCUCAUGAUAAGUAAGAGAAAGAAGAAAUAAGAUACAAAAGUAGGCAAGAAAUAAGAUACAAAAGUAGGGAAGCCUUGCCCCUACGGACCCACCAAACAUCUUGCCUUACAGCUGGUUUCACAUUUCUUACCAAAACAUCUUGCCUUAAAGCUUUGUCUUGGAUUAUCUUACCAAGCCCUCCCUCGCACAAGUAAAAGGAUCAGGGAUUAGAAAAUAGCAGAAUCAGUAAAACUAUGAGAAGCCAGAGCUCCUGACAGACGAUCUCUGAAAGAAGAUAGAAACACAAAAAAGAAGUAAAAUCUCCUAUUGUUCUAGUAAUUUCAGCAUGGUCUUCAUAGGACAGUCAUAGAAGCCGAGUAACUUG
RNAcentral lists this long non-coding RNA (483 nucleotides) under Carica papaya (papaya). RNAcentral's name for it is "long non-coding RNA (CPAP_LNC008758)". The record is from RNAcentral. Lineage: Eukaryota; Viridiplantae; Streptophyta; Magnoliopsida; Brassicales; Caricaceae.